GACCUGCACCAAGGCCGCCAGCGCGAAGAAGGCGGCCAUGAGUCCGUUGCAGGCCCGCCACAGCGCUGGCGCCAUGGCUCGGAGAACACGGCGCGGGGCGCACCUGACAUACCUGGAUAUAAACAAUAUCCAAGGCCCCUAAGGUAAAAGCCUUGCUCCAAGUCCCCUUCUGACUUCUAGUCACUUCCGUGCUGCCAGCAGAGGGCGUGGGAUUCUUCCUGAGGAGCCUGAGUCUCAGCUUUGCCAGGUCCUUGCUGUGUGACCUUGGGCACCUGUGCUCCCUUGACAAAGAGGAAUAAAACCUCUUCAGACUACUCUCCUAUCGAUUCUCUCCUGGAACAUAUGACCACCAUCAAUUAUAGGCAAGAACAUGAACACGGGAGUCCCAAAGACUUGGGUUCAAAUGUCAGCCCCUUCACUCGCUGGCUGUAGGUGUGAGGCCCUGGGUAAGGUCCUUACCUCCCCAAGUGUCUGAGCCUGUUCCCGUAUAAUGUUCACUUGCCUUGAAUAUCAUGAAAUGUACAUUAGACUUUGUAAGUAAACACCUAGCUGAGUAUCUGGAGCAUAGUAAGUGCUUAUCACACAUUCCAUGGAGUCCCAGACACGAGCAACUAAUGCUCCUGCCGUCCGCUCAGUUUGAGA
Molecule: long non-coding RNA, 642 nt
Filed under: Homo sapiens (human)
Lineage: Eukaryota; Metazoa; Chordata; Mammalia; Primates; Hominidae
Description: HSALNT0237150
Source: RNAcentral